This 465-nucleotide ribosomal RNA is filed under the name Vreelandella stevensii. Its description in RNAcentral is "partial 16S ribosomal RNA". It matches the Rfam family "Bacterial small subunit ribosomal RNA", at positions 338 to 795 of the family's 1533-position model. The record is from RNAcentral. Lineage: Bacteria; Pseudomonadati; Pseudomonadota; Gammaproteobacteria; Oceanospirillales; Halomonadaceae.
CCUACGGGGGGCAGCAGUGGGGAAUAUUGGACAAUGGGGGCAACCCUGAUCCAGCCAUGCCGGGUGUGUGAAGAAGGCCCUCGGGUUGUAAAGCACUUUCAGUGAGGAAGAACGCCUGGUGGUUAAUACCCAUCAGGAAAGACAUCACUCACAGAAGAAGCACCGGCUAACUCCGUGCCAGCAGCCGCGGUAAUACGGAGGGUGCGAGCGUUAAUCGGAAUUACUGGGCGUAAAGCGCGCGUAGGUGGCUUGAUAAGCCGGUUGUGAAAGCCCCGGGCUCAACCUGGGAACGGCAUCCGGAACUGUCAAGCUAGAGUGCAGGAGAGGAAGGUAGAAUUCCCGGUGUAGCGGUGAAAUGCGUAGAGAUCGGGAGGAAUACCAGUGGCGAAGGCGGCCUUCUGGACUGACACUGACACUGAGGUGCGAAAGCGUGGGUAGCAAACAGGAUUAGAUACCCUAGUAGUC